AUAUUAGUUGGUUGUCCUCUUAACCAAGGUGUGUGGAGACUCGGACAUGGCAUAUGGGUGAAAUAUAGGAGUAUAUUUCACUGAGCGUGAUCAAUUCUGAAGUACUUUACUGUCAAGGGUUGCUCUGAUGGGAUAUGGGUAUAAGUGUCUCUCUGAUCUGAGACUGCUUCGGUGACUUGUAAGCAACUCAAUGUGCUUUGGUGCCAGACUAUUCGAAUUUCUAAUUCGAUGACGGAAGAUUUUUGGAUACAGUCAAGUACUUGUGAAGUCUGAGUGUGAGUCAAGAUAGGAUUGAUCGUUUCAAGUAAAAUUGGAGAUAAUGCAUCACUGUAUUUCAAUUCAGCAAAACUCUGGACAGAGUAGUUCUAAUGAGGAGUCACAGAAUUUUUGAGAUUGAGACACAAUGUGGACCACUCAUAUAGAGUUGACAGUUUAACUCUAAGUCAUCCUUGAGCAUCGAGA
Molecule: long non-coding RNA, 462 nt
Filed under: Elaeis guineensis (African oil palm)
Lineage: Eukaryota; Viridiplantae; Streptophyta; Magnoliopsida; Arecales; Arecaceae
Description: long non-coding RNA (EGUI_LNC055148)
Source: RNAcentral